RNAcentral lists this ribosomal RNA (429 nucleotides) under Chloroflexota bacterium. RNAcentral describes it as "Chloroflexi bacterium partial 16S ribosomal RNA". It matches the Rfam family "Bacterial small subunit ribosomal RNA", at positions 355 to 776 of the family's 1533-position model. Lineage: Bacteria; Bacillati; Chloroflexota. The record is from RNAcentral.
UGGGGAAUAUUGCACAAUGGGCGCAAGCCUGAUGCAGCCAUGCCGCGUGUGUGAAGAAGGCCUUCGGGUUGUAAAGCACUUUCAGCGGGGAGGAAGGCGAUAAGGUUAAUAACCUCAUCGAUUGACGUUACCCGCAGAAGAAGCACCGGCUAACUCCGUGCCAGCAGCCGCGGUAAUACGGAGGGUGCAAGCGUUAAUCGGAAUUACUGGGCGUAAAGCGCACGCAGGCGGUCUGUCAAGUCGGAUGUGAAAUCCCCGGGCUCAACCUGGGAACUGCAUUCGAAACUGGCAGGCUAGAGUCUUGUAGAGGGGGGUGGAAUUCCAGGUGUAGCGGUGAAAUGCGUAGAGAUCUGGAGGAAUAACGGUGGCGAAGGCGGCCCCCUGGACAAAGACUGACGCUCAGGUGCGAAAGCGUGGGGAGCAAACAGG